AUGGAGGCGGAGACAGAGGCGGGCAGCCAAAGGCUGCUGAGGGGGAAAGGGGGCAAGUUCAACGUCACCCGUCGCCACGCAGCCCCAGCCUCACAAAGUCUCGCCCGUGGGUGUGUUUCUAGGAGCCAGCGCUGGAGCACGGGUUGUACUGCAGUGAGGCGGGCGGGGUGGGUGGGGAACCGGUCCAGCCGAGGGCUGAGUCCACACCCUGGGAAGGGCACGAGGGAGCAGGACAGUCUGUCCAGAGAUGGUCCCGAAACAGCAAAGCAGCGCUCCCGCAGCUCCCCGACCCAAGCCCGCCACGGGCGUCCACACCUGUCCGGGGCCACACUGCCCCUGCACAGCCACCUGUUAGCACAAGUUCCGCAGCUGGGCGUGGGGGCGCCCAGGAGGCGACCAAGCCGAGCGCGCUUCGGAGUCGGAGCCCCUCCCGCGACGGGGGGCCGUUCCCAGCGCCCGGGGGAGACCCCAUGCGGCCCCCAUCCCCGAUACCUUCCACCCUCAGCACACCCGCUAGGGGGCCUCCUCGCGCACCUGGGGGUCGCCGCGCCCUUCCCGAGCGACCACGCCCCUCACCGGCCGUUCCCAGCGCGCGAUGGCCCCUGCGCACCCCUGUCUCCCACAGAGGUCCCUGCCCCGGAGCCGCGACCCCGAGCUCGCGGCCUCCCCUGGGGGAGACACUCAGUGUCGGGCCCCUCACCUCCGCACAGCGCAGGGAGGGGCGGGGCAGGGGACUCCGCGCAGGAGGAGGAGGCAGGCGUCGGACAGGGGGAUCGGACAGGGGCUCGUUACGCCGCCCCCACCCUCGGCCCGGGCCCAGAGCGCGCGCCGAGCGGUCCCGGCUGCUCCCCGCCCCCGGCCGGCCCCGCCCCAGGAUGGCCAGUUCCCGUAGCAAUGGCACAGACACGGGUUGCCAAGCAACUCUUCCCCCUCCCCUCCUCGGUAGUCCGCUCCCCCCACCCCCAGCCUCCUCCCGCCCCCACGCCAGCCUCCACCUCCCCCGGGGGUGUUGGCACGGCCCCUGAGGACCGCUCGGGUCUCGGGCUGUGGGCGCGCGCGAGUUUUCCGUGUGUUUCACUGUGGCCGUGCGCGAGGGGGUGUGCGCGUGCGAGCAGAGAGUUUGCGGGAUCAGUGUGUCGGGCAGGUUCCCGGCAGGAAGGGACCCCAGCUGGUGCACAGCCGGCCGCGAGGGGACCCGCCAGCCCGCUCCGGGUCCUUUGUGUCUCGCGCGGAACCGGCGCCGCGCCCACCCAUCCCCCGGCCCACGCCCGGGCAGUGCACGCGCGCGUGUGUGCCCGUGCGUGCGCGCGUGUGUGCGGUGUGUGCGCGCGGGGGGAGGGGUCCGGUACCUUCGAUGCAGCACACCCGCCACAGCCCCGAGUGGGUGAGGUCGCCGCGCGCGCGGCGGGGCGGAGGCCCGUCGUCCAUGGUCAGGUUGGUGCCGUUGCAGAUGUGCGCGCUGGAGUAGAGCCAGUAGUAGGUGCUGGUGCCAAUGGACGAUGGCCAUGA
Molecule: long non-coding RNA, 1509 nt
Filed under: Oryctolagus cuniculus (rabbit)
Lineage: Eukaryota; Metazoa; Chordata; Mammalia; Lagomorpha; Leporidae
Description: lncRNA (ENSOCUG00000030601.1)
Source: RNAcentral